UUUGAAGAAGAAACUAACUCUAUUACCUUCAAAUUUUUAAAUUGAUGUCGUUUUCAUAGGAUGUUUUCUCUUGUAUUUUUUCUUGACAACAUUUUCUCUUGUAUUUUAUUUUUAAUAUUUUAUCACAUUUCUUUUUAUUAUAUUUUAUCACGAUUUCCUAAUAAGACUAAUAUUAUGUCCUCCUAAAGUGUUUGAGGAAGAUACUAACUCUAUUACUUUCAUAUUUUAAAUUAAUGUCAUUUUCAUAGGAUGUUUUCUCUUAUAUUUUUUUUACAACAUUUUCUCUUGUAUUUUAUUUUUAAUAUUUUAUCACAUUUAUUUAUUUUCAAGAUUAUGGACAUGUAUUAUUAAGAGAAAAGGAGGC
This 364-nucleotide long non-coding RNA is filed under the name Brassica rapa (field mustard). Its description in RNAcentral is "long non-coding RNA (BRAP_LNC001078)". The record is from RNAcentral. Lineage: Eukaryota; Viridiplantae; Streptophyta; Magnoliopsida; Brassicales; Brassicaceae.